RNAcentral lists this ribosomal RNA (459 nucleotides) under uncultured bacterium. Its description in RNAcentral is "partial 16S ribosomal RNA". It matches the Rfam family "Bacterial small subunit ribosomal RNA", at positions 338 to 795 of the family's 1533-position model. The record is from RNAcentral.
CCUACGGGAGGCAGCAGUGAGGAAUAUUGGUCAAUGGCCGGAAGGCUGAACCAGCCAAGCCGCGUGAAGGACGAAGGUGCCAAGCAUUGUAAACUUCUUUUGUCAAGGGACAAAAUCAGGCUCGAGAGCCUGACCGUGUGUACUUGAUGAAAAAGCAUCGGCUAACUCCGUGCCAGCAGCCGCGGUAAUACGGAGGAUGCGAGCGUUAUCCGGAUUUAUUGGGUUUAAAGGGUGCGUAGGCGGACUGUUAAGUCAGCGGUAAAAGCCCGGGGCUCAACCCCGGCGAGCCGUUGAUACUGGCUGUCUUGAGAUGUCGAGAGGUAUGCGGAAUGCGCAGUGUAGCGGUGAAAUGCUUAGAUAUUGCGCAGAACUCCGAUUGCGAAGGCAGCAUACCGGCGGCGAUCUGACGCUGAGGCACGAAAGCGUGGGUAUCGAACAGGAUUAGAUACCCCAGUAGUC